Molecule: long non-coding RNA, 3309 nt
Filed under: Nicotiana benthamiana
Lineage: Eukaryota; Viridiplantae; Streptophyta; Magnoliopsida; Solanales; Solanaceae
Description: long non-coding RNA (NBEN_LNC009843)
Source: RNAcentral
AUUUCCUUCAGGAGGGUCUCCUUUUUCUGUCAUAAAAAUUCCAAAAAAAAAACCGCUCUCUUCCUUUUCAGAUUAGAAUUUUAUUUCAAAUAUACAAAACUACAGAAAACAUCAAAAAUAGAAAACCCAAAAAAUUUUCACUAUUUUAUUACCUAUUUCAGUCAAUUUUUAGAUUCCGCUUUUGUGUUCUGCGUUUCUGUUCUGUACCUGAGUGUUUGUAGCAUCAAAGGUGGUUGAGGUUAUUACGGAUGAUUGUUGGUCAUUUAUUUUUGAUUGUUGAAAGGUUUAGUAGUUUUUGAUAUAGUUGCAGCUACAUUCGAGUGUGUUCAAGUAACUUGUGGUGGUUUGCUUGGGUGUGGUUUGAUUUCAAAAUUUUUCGUGGUUAUUGAGCUAAGUUCUGGGUGAUUGAUUUUUGCUUGUGGUCUUUGCUGCUAACUGAUUCAGCUUCUUCUUAUUUCCAAAAUCAAGGGUACGCAGUUGUAAUCCCGCCAAUUUUUAAGAACAAACUUUGAGCAUGAUAUAUACGUGAAUAUUUGAAGCUUAAAUUUGAUUUAAAUGUUAUAUUGAUUCGUAUUUCAGAUAGUUCAAUCGUUUAUGUCAUGAAUUGCUGCUGAAUGUGUAAUUAGAUUGAGACAGACUAUGGACUAUAAUUAAGACCGUUUAGAAGUAGACUUGGACUAUUUGUGGUAAUCAGCUCGUGUAUUUACUGUCACAUGGCUUAGGGGUAUUGUAUUUUGAUAUUUGUUUGGACUACUAGAUCUGGGAUAGUAUUAGUUAUCGUAUCUUAAUUCAUGUGUUUAAUAUAGAUUUUUGAACCAGGUAAUAACUUGAACCGGAAAUUAUUCAUUAGCUUAAGUCAAUUUCGAACUCUGGAAUAUUCAUUUGCGUUGGCAACAGGACAAUCCAUAAGCCAUGAGUCACCUAAGCAUCGAUUUAAUAACUAGAGUUUUGAAAUAUAAACUCAAAUUAUCCAUGUCUUUUAAUUUGCUAAGUUGCACUCGUUUUUGGUUACAAUUGUGGAAGAAUGGAAAAGCCCAUUGAAAAAAUCCUAGUGGUCAUUUGGUCUAUGUCAUCUAAUCCUUGAUCAGACUUCUCAAGUGGCUUUGGGCCUCGAUACUGAAAUUAACGGCCCAAGCCUGAUCGAUACAACUGUUUCAUUCGGACCUAGGCCAAUGCCUGGCUUACCUUAGUCCCAUAGAAAAUUAUUUAGGAUAUUUUUCCUUGUGUUCCUAGAGAGAAAAACAAAAAUAAAAAAUCAUAGUCGCUUUUAGGUUUGUCUUUAAAUAAAAUAAUGAGACGAGCCUCACCGAACAAAACAAAUAAAUUGCGGGGCCUUCACUAAUUGGUUAUUCAAAAUACAUAAAAUUCGGGAGGACCCUUUAGCGAAUUUAACGAUCUUCCCCAACAUAAUAAUGUUUUAGACUCUUUAGGCGCGACUUAAUUAAAUAAUUUUUGUAUACUCGGGUGCGCGUUGAUGUGACGCAAAUCCAAUUCUCAAUGGAGUCAAAUGUGUUAACAACCACGGGUGCAUUGAUUGCAACGUGGUUUGACAUACAUUUUUGCGCCGUUGCAAUUCUUUUCAAAUAAUAAUAAAAGCGGUUUACGAAUAAAAGGCACAUAGGCUAGCAUGUACUAAAAUAAAAUAAAAUCAAAUACAAAAAUUGAGCGACCGUGCUAGAACCACGAAACCCGGGAACACCUAACACCUUCUCCCGGAUUAACCGAAUUCCUUAUUCACAUUUCGGAUUCAUGGACAUUAAUGCAGAGUUAUAUUUUUCCUCGGUUCAGGAUUCAAUAAGUGACUAGGAACACCAUUAAUCUCCCAAGUGGCGACUCUGAAUAAUAAUUAAUUAAAUCCUAUUCCGACUGUCCUUUAAUUGGAAAAACUCCUUUAUGCCCUUGCGGGUGUAGUGAAAAAGAAGGUGUGCCAACGUUUUAUUUAAAGUCACAAUUGUAACAUGGCCGGGACCACACUAGUGGAUCUUGAGGGAUAUCUAACACCUUCCCCUCGAGAUAAUUUCUGGCCCUGACCCUAAUCUUUGGUUUCUUUAUCUCAAACCCUUCUUAAAAUUGUCCUAAUGCACUAUUAUCAUUAGCUGGAGACUCUUCAACUCCAAAAUCCAAUUCUCGAAAGGGAAUAGAGUUGUCCUCCCAAUUGUUGUAUACCCGAUUUUAAAUCUUAGAAAAAGGGGGCGUCGAUAGCAUGGCGACUUAGCUGGGGACGUUUUUAGGCUUUGACCAUUGCAUGCUACUUGUGACUUUGUUUUCUCUUUAAUUGCCUUUACUUACUGUCUUUAUUUCCUCUAUUACGAAACUAACAUGGCUGUUCAUGUCUUUUCUCUCUUUAAUGCUUUAUUUACUGCUUUCCUUUACCACUGUUGUAAUUACGAGCAAUUUUUGUAAUCAUUAUCUUAUGAACGUUGAAAUAUGUGACAAUCCUUUUCAUUCUUGUAAUCACAUCUUCAGCAUCAUAUUCCACUCGUACCUAACAAAUACCGUAGCAACCUUAUAAUGAGUGGUUGCACUCCUUCAAUAUUAUUACCCCCUAAAUUUGUCAAAUGCAUAUUUGUGGAAAAACAAAUCAAUCUGCGGUGUGGUGGACGGUUCCGUGCCUUUCCCUCUUGAGUCGUCCGCUCAAGGGUACCGGUCUAAUACCCUGUAUAAACCUUACUCUAUUUAACUGUGGAUAUAUCAUGGUCAAACCUAGUCAAGUCAGUUAUGUUGUCCACAUAAUAACUCAUUAAGAUAGCCUUGUCCUAAGUCCACCAGUUUCCUUGAAACCCAAACGGACACCACCAUAUUAUGCGCAUUUAUUUGGAGGACUAAAUGCUUUUUAUGCUAAUUAUUGGUAUUAAAUAGUCAAUUUUGGUGGGGUGAGGCCUUAACCCUUUUGCUUUGCAGAAAUGAAUGACAAAGUUCCCGACUUAGGUAUGGUCAACAUACCCUCACUCUUGCUGACCUGGUGGAUGGAACUCCCAUCUAUUAACCAAAUCAACGAAUGGAAAGAUAGAGUCACCAAGGCCAGUGUCAAGCUUGAAUACCUGGAGUACAACUUGCUGGAAUCGAAAGGGAAAGUUAGGAAAAGGGUCAUCGACUGUCAAAACGCUUAGGAAAGCGAAGGAGAAUGCUUGACAAAGGAAUUUCUACUGGAAAAUCUGCGCGAGCUGGAGGAUCUGAUCAGCGAGAACAUUCAAGCAUAAGAAGUUCAUUCUGGGACCAAGUAGUUAGGAGUCUUUUGCUUUUAAAAUGUAAUAAGGCCAAUGGCCAUUAGUGACAUUUUUACAUUCCGUUAUUUUAGUAUCAUUUUGG